This is a long non-coding RNA of Daphnia pulicaria, 236 nucleotides long. RefSeq lists it as uncharacterized. The record is from RefSeq and is a predicted model, not a curated record. The transcript has 2 exons. Lineage: Eukaryota; Metazoa; Arthropoda; Branchiopoda; Diplostraca; Daphniidae.
UUUUUUUCUGGAUCUGUUUUCAUAAUGGUUGUAAGUGAAUAAGAUUAUUUUUAGAAUAAAAGUGUAAAGUGAUGCUUGAUUCGAUCAUAAUUUCUUAGAGACUGUAAUUACAUAAUCCUUCGAAAUCAAGAGUGCAUCUAUCUUAAAUGUGCAUUUUGAGAAAACAAAAUUUCAAAUUUUAAUCCGAAGGAAAACACCUGUGAACGAUCUUAGGGAAAUUGUCAUAUUUUUAAACA